UUCAUCGUGAGAUGGAAUCUGAAGGAAGCCGAAAGCAAAAUCUUUGUCUGAGGAAUACGAACUAUAUAUAAGGAUUACUAGGAUGAAUGAGUUUGCUAAAUAAAACAAAGUCCAACACUACCCAAAUCCUUAGGAGUAAAUAUAGCAGAUAUAUGAGAGGAAGGUUGUUGUU
Molecule: non-coding RNA, 172 nt
Organism: Clostridium sp.
Lineage: Bacteria; Bacillati; Bacillota; Clostridia; Eubacteriales; Clostridiaceae
Source: Rfam